This 386-nucleotide ribosomal RNA is filed under the name uncultured bacterium. RNAcentral's name for it is "bacterial SSU rRNA". It matches the Rfam family "Bacterial small subunit ribosomal RNA", at positions 30 to 416 of the family's 1533-position model. The record is from RNAcentral.
AGUGAACGCUGGCGGCAGGCCUAACACAUGCAAGUCGAGCGGCAGCGCGGGGGCAACCCUGGCGGCGAGCGGCGGACGGGUGAGGAAUACAUCGGAAUCUGCCUUGUUGUGGGGGAUAACGUAGGGAAACUUACGCUAAUACCGCAUGAGACCGUAAGGUGAAAGUGGGGGAUCGCAAGACCUCACGCGACAAGAUGAGCCGAUGUCGGAUUAGCUAGUUGGUGAGGUAAAGGCUCACCAAGGCAACGAUCCGUAGCUGGUCUGAGAGGAUGAUCAGCCACACUGGGACUGAGACACGGCCCAGACUCCUACGGGAGGCAGCAGUGGGGAAUAUUGGACAAUGGGCGCAAGCCUGAUCCAGCCAUGCCGCGUGUGUGAAGAAGGCC